This 132-nucleotide non-coding RNA is filed under the name Skeletonema marinoi. Lineage: Eukaryota; Bacillariophyta; Thalassiosirophyceae; Thalassiosirales; Thalassiosiraceae. The record is from RNAcentral.
CAAGUGGCAAGAGAAGGUCAUCAAUCGUAGAGAUUAAUCGAACAUUCAACCGCAAAUAUGAAGUGGAUAGGCGUCAUUCGUUGGAGACUGCCGGUAUUCCUAAUCCAGUCGAUACUGCAUAUGAAAGAGAGC